CAAUAAGCGGAGGAAAAGAAACCAACAGGGAUUGCCUCAGUAACGGCGAGUGAAGCGGCAACAGCUCAAAUUUGAAAUCUGGCCGCAAGGUCCGAGUUGUAAUUUGUAGAGGAUGCUUUUGGCGAGGUGCCUUCCGAGUUCCCUGGAACGGGACGCCAUAGAGGGUGAGAGCCCCGUACGGUAGGACCACCAAGCCUCUGUAAAGCUCCUUCGACGAGUCGAGUAGUUUGGGAAUGCUGCUCUAAAUGGGAGGUGUACGUCUUCUAAAGCUAAAUACCGGCCAGAGACCGAUAGCGCACAAGUAGAGUGAUCGAAAGAUGAAAAGCACUUUGAAAAGAGGGUUAAAAAGUACGUGAAAUUGUUGAAAGGGAAGCAUUCAUGACCAGACUUGGGCUUGGUUGAACAUCCGGCGUUCUCGCCGGUGCACUCUGCCAGUCCAGGCCAGCAUCAGUUUGCCCCGGGGGAUAAAGGCGGCGGGAAUGUGGCUCCCUUCGGGGAGUGUUAUAGCCCGUCGUGUAAUGCCCUGGGGCGGACUGAGGAACGCGCUUCGGCACGGAUGCUGGCGUAAUGGUCAUCAAUGACCCGUCU
This 588-nucleotide ribosomal RNA is filed under the name Sarocladium sp. Its description in RNAcentral is "partial large subunit ribosomal RNA". It matches the Rfam family "Eukaryotic large subunit ribosomal RNA", at positions 44 to 654 of the family's 3401-position model. Lineage: Eukaryota; Fungi; Ascomycota; Sordariomycetes; Hypocreales; Sarocladiaceae. The record is from RNAcentral.